RNAcentral lists this microRNA (21 nucleotides) under Drosophila pseudoobscura pseudoobscura. Its description in RNAcentral is "mir-1002-RA". Lineage: Eukaryota; Metazoa; Arthropoda; Insecta; Diptera; Drosophilidae. The record is from RNAcentral.
AAGUAGUUGAUACAAGGGCGA